This 220-nucleotide long non-coding RNA is filed under the name Elaeis guineensis (African oil palm). RNAcentral describes it as "long non-coding RNA (EGUI_LNC031054)". Lineage: Eukaryota; Viridiplantae; Streptophyta; Magnoliopsida; Arecales; Arecaceae. The record is from RNAcentral.
UAGAAUUCAGCAUAAAUGAGGAUCCAGAUAUACCUAGAAAUCAUACCACACAUGCUAUAUUAUCUAUAGUAGUAUCGUGUCCUAAAUCACCUCAAGAGGCCCAUCUCAUAUAUGCUAUCAUAUCCUCACAAGCCUUCUAACAUGCAACGUGGUCCAUAUCUUGCACAAUAUGAAUAAACUACGACUCAAACUGUAAAUCAUCUAAAACUAGGUGGAUGUA